Vicugna pacos (alpaca) is the source of this 2295-nucleotide non-coding RNA. The record is from RefSeq and is a predicted model, not a curated record. Lineage: Eukaryota; Metazoa; Chordata; Mammalia; Artiodactyla; Camelidae.
UCGGCCUCAGUUUCUCUGGUGAGCAAUGCUGGUCCCGCCUUCCCUUGGUGGUUCCUUCUGCCUGUGAACAAAGACCUUGGGCAUUGAAGAGGGCAGGGGGCUGUGCCAGGCAUGGAGUAAAUCACACGGCUGCCUGACGGGGCCGCUAGUGUUACCCCGGGGUUCAGAUUGGUAAAUUGAGGCUCAGACAAUUGUCCCAGGUCACACCACGCCUGGCCUGCAGAAGGUACGGAAGAAAUGUUGGUGAACGGACUGUAGCCCUAGGUCUGACCCCCAGGCUGGCUUCUUGCUGCCAUGUUUUGCUGCUUGGACGGGAAAGCCCUGUGGAAGGGAAGUGAGAGUUCGAGUGCAUGUGUGUGUGGAGGGGGAAGGGCGGGAGGAGGGAUCAUUUCGAAGGCUGCAGGACGAGGCAGGCGGGGUUGCUUGACUGUGGAAGGUGGGUGUGGGCAGAACACGAGGCUGGGCAGCCGGUGGGAAGGGAAGGGACUGCCGUGUGGCCAGGAUGAGGCGCCCACACCGAGGGCAAGAGGCUGGGGUGGGGCAGGGAAGGAGGGAGAGUCACAGGGCUCGAGAGGCAGCCCAGCAGAGCGGAUCAGGGUGUGGAGGUGGGGCCAGGCUGCCUGGGUUCAAAUCCUGCCUGGCCACUUCUUGGCUGCAUCUCUUUGGGGAAAUUCCUUCCAACCAGACCAGGAGCCAGGGGAGCCUUCUCAUCUGUCAGCACCGGGCUCCAUGUUUUGCAUAAAUUAUCUCAUUUAAACCUCACAUCACCUCCGUGAGGUGUGUCUUCCUAUUUUCCUAAGAAGUAAACGAAGCUGAGAGAGGCCCAGGCACUUGCCCAAGGCCACACAGUCAGGAACCCAUGAAGCAGGGCAGUCCUUCUGGAAGCUUUGGUGACAGGAGCCUCUUCCCCCACCUGAAAAAGUCUGAGAGCCAUUCCAAGGGAGUUGGCCACUUCAGCGUCUUUUCCCUGCGCUGCCUGGCACGUGAUGGCCACCGUUCUCUGUAGCUUUUUGUUUCACUGCUGCACUGUGAUCUUUCCAGAGGCAUUUUAAGCACGACCUGGGGGUCCAAAUUAAGACGAAAUGCCACUAGUGUAAUGUUGCCAAUUUAAUAACACUCAGGUAAAUGGACACAUUUUACACACAGGCACGGCCAGGAAUGGUCACAUCACUGUACCGCCCGGCUGGGUGGUCUGAAAGUUUUUGGGCAUCAUUUGGCAGAUACAACCCAAUUUUAGAAAUAUUGAAACUGGGGAAAGGGGGACAUGUGACUGAGAUUCAGCAAAGGAAAAACUGGAGCUUCUGCAAUGCAGAAGGCCUCAAAUGACAGGCGCUGUGCCCCGGGACCAGGGGCCUAGCCUCUCUGAACCUGGGCUCCCCACCUGUGAGCAGGGUGGUGGCCUGCUCUGCAUACCCACAGGGCUGUCAGGGGCCCAGCAGCACGUCUUGGUGAACCAGGAGGACUAGAUACACCUGGGGGACACGAAUAGCCAUUUCCCGGGGCACAGCUGGGAGGGUACCCCAGAAUCUGGGAGGCGUUGGGCACCCCAGGCUGACCCUUGAGACUCUGCUCCCCUCCAUCCCAGCCCUUCCUGACUAAUCCCUCUCACUGACCCACAGAAGACCCCACCAUGUGCCCAGGCCUCAAGCUUUCACUCCUUGGCAGUGUCACCUUGGGCGGCCCAGCCUCACUGGGCCUCAGUCUCUCAGAGUCUGUUGACUCAAACGAGGAAAAUCGAAGCAAUACUGAGACGCAAAGAGGACACAGAAACCCCUAGAUGAGUUGAGGGGUCCCACAGCAGCCUGCACCCCACUUCCCAGAGUGUGAAACUGAGUCCCCCUAAAACCGAGCUCCCUUACCAAGUUUAUGAUUAGUCUCUCUACCCCAAACUUUAUUCCCUUUCCCAUCCCCUCUGACCUCAAUCCGAUGCUCACGGAACACUCAACAGCUGGAGUCAGAUGACUCAGACUGCGGGCGUGGAUGACAAUGGCAUGGGCUCAAACCGCUAUUAGGAUGGAUAGCAUCACUAAUGUGCAAACUCAGGUUGUUUCUCCAGGGCAAGAUGAGCUCACGGACCCCCAAGCCAUGGACCAUCUGGCCAGAGAAUCUUCAUCCAGAGACACCCUGAUGCCCGAAACUACUGUUAAGACAUGUCACAAGACAAUGAUUAAUCCCAGCCAGUUUCUUCCCCUUCAGAAAAAAGCUCCUACCUCAAAGACCAAGUUGGAGUGAUCUGAGGCUUGUCUCCCACUCCCUUGCUUGGCACCCAGCAAUAAAUCUUGACUUUGCUGCAAA